RNAcentral lists this ribosomal RNA (676 nucleotides) under uncultured Bacteroidales bacterium. RNAcentral's name for it is "bacterial SSU rRNA". It matches the Rfam family "Bacterial small subunit ribosomal RNA", at positions 67 to 732 of the family's 1533-position model. Lineage: Bacteria; Pseudomonadati; Bacteroidota; Bacteroidia; Bacteroidales. The record is from RNAcentral.
GGGCAGCAUGGUCUUAGCUUGCUAAGGCCGAUGGCGACCGGCGCACGGGUGAGUAACACGUAUCCAACCUGCCGUCUACUCUUGGACAGCCUUCUGAAAGGAAGAUUAAUACAAGAUGGCAUCAUGAGUCCGCAUGUUCACAUGAUUAAAGGUAUUCCGGUAGACGAUGGGGAUGCGUUCCAUUAGAUAGUAGGCGGGGUAACGGCCCACCUAGUCUUCGAUGGAUAGGGGUUCUGAGAGGAAGGUCCCCCACAUUGGAACUGAGACACGGUCCAAACUCCUACGGGAGGCAGCAGUGAGGAAUAUUGGUCAAUGGGCGCAGGCCUGAACCAGCCAAGUAGCGUGAAGGAUGACUGCCCUAUGGGUUGUAAACUUCUUUUAUAAAGGAAUAAAGUCGGGUAUGUAUACCCGUUUGCAUGUACUUUAUGAAUAAGGAUCGGCUAACUCCGUGCCAGCAGCCGCGGUAAUACGGAGGAUCCGAGCGUUAUCCGGAUUUAUUGGGUUUAAAGGGAGCGUAGAUGGAUGUUUAAGUCAGUUGUGAAAGUUUGCGGCUCAACCGUAAAAUUGCAGUUGAUACUGGAUAUCUUGAGUGCAGUUGAGGCAGGCGGAAUUCGUGGUGUAGCGGUGAAAUGCUUAGAUAUCACGAAGAACUCCGAUUGCGAAGGCAGCCUGCUAA